This is a long non-coding RNA of Mustela lutreola (European mink), 2904 nucleotides long. RefSeq lists it as uncharacterized. The transcript is spliced from 9 exons. The record is from RefSeq and is a predicted model, not a curated record. Lineage: Eukaryota; Metazoa; Chordata; Mammalia; Carnivora; Mustelidae.
GGCGUGUGGCCCGGGAGUGUCCCCGCGCCGAAGUGUGAGCUGGGAGGAGCCAGCCGUGCGCCUCCGGCCCGCCCCGCGGGUUGAGGCGCGCGGUAGUGUGGAGUCCUAUGGACCACACACUCGAUCUGCAGGCUCCUUGCCCAGUGUGGGCCUCGGACUCAGGACCCUGAGAUUGAGAGUCACAUGGUCUACCAACUGAGCCAGCCAGUCUGAGAUGGAGGAGUGGAUGGCCAACUCAGAGACAUGUCAAUCUGCAGUCUACUUGCUAAUGAUGUCAGAAGAUAAGCGAUGAAAACCUCAUUUGGAAAAAAAAAAAAGUUUUGGAAGUUCCACCAAAUGCCCGAUGGAGUCCCCUGACAGAACCAGGUAACAUUCAUCAAUCUCACCAGUGGUGUAAACCUGGGCACAUCUUUUUUUGGCUUCCAGAGAAAUAAGAACAGAUAUAAACCGAAUAUUCCUCAUUUCAGAAAAUAAGGAAGUAUGUCAGCUUGAAGAUGAUUGGUAAGAGGCUUAGAGAGAGAUCACAAGCAGGCAGAGAGAGAGAGAAGGACGCAGGCUCCCCGCUGAGCAGAGAGCCUGAUGCAGGGCUCGAUCCCAGGACCCUGAGAUCAUGACCCGAGCCGAAGGCAGUGGCUUAACCCACUGAGCCACCCAGGCACCCCAAAAUGCAGCAAAUCAUGUCACAGCUACCAUGGACAACAACCCCUUGAAGUCUGUAUAUCUCUCAGACAGCUAAUGGGAGAGAUGGGCCAAAAGACGAACACUUGCAACAUCAUAAGGCAAAGAGCGAGUGAGAAAGAGAGAGAGCACAAGCAGGGCAGAGGAGCAGAAGGAGAGGGAGAAGCAGACCCCCUUGCUGAGAAGGGAGCCUGAUUCUGGACUUGAUCCCAGGACCCCAGGAUCAUGAUUAAGGUUGCCCAAGACCAUUAAAGAGGUUCAUCAUUCUCCCAUACUGUUGUUUCUGUGAUGACAAAUAAAAGAUUCAGUUUAUUAGCAAACUUGAAAAAAAAACUUAUUUCAUUAAAACGACUUUCAUUGUGAUGUUGAUCUGCAAAAGGAAAAUUUUGUUUUCAAAAGUGGCAGGAGAAUUCAACGUGCAUGUCCCAGUAGGUGUGGGUUGAUCAUUACCAUUUGACAUUAGGUCCUGGGAACCUGGGUAGAGGAGGCUACCAGAGGCUACCACAGUAGAACACUUCUCCUGUCAGUGAGCAGUGAUACCACCACCCAUCCACAUUUGCAACCAGAAAACUAGGUGUUACCCUUGAUGCCUCUCUUUCUCACACCACUUUAUAUAAUCCAUCAACUAGGAAGGUCUGCUGAUUUUUACCUCUUAAAUUUCCUUUUUUUUUUUUUUUUUUUUGGAAGAUUUUAUUUAUUUAUUUGAAAGUGAGAACAAAGGAACAGCGUGGGGGAGGGGAGGACAGAGGGAGAAGCAGACUCCCCGCAGGGAGCCCAAAGCGGGACUUGAUCCCAGGAUCAUGACCUGAGCUGAAGGCAGCCACUUAGCUGACUGAGCCACCCAGGCCCCCCUCUUCUUAAAUUCCUUUCAAGUCCACUCACUUCUCUCCUUCUUUUCUACCAUAAUCCUAGUCCAAACUAAUCAUCUCUUCCCUGGGUGACAAUAGGCACUCCUAGCUAGACUCCUCUCUUCCAUUCUAGCUACCUCUAAUUCUUCCUCCAGUUUGGCAGCCACUGUGCAGUUUUUGAAAUGCAAAUCUCAUUUCUCAACCCUUAACCCACUCCCCUUUUAAAGCCUUGCAAUGGUUGCCUUUUGCCCUUCCUCUAAGAUCUGUAAUGGUCUAACAAGGCCUUUGGAGGUGUUCCCUUCCUUCUCCCACCCCUUGGUUUUUGUUGUUUCUUCUGUGUGGAGUGCUCUUUGCUCUGCCCAUCCACCAUCUUCACCUUGCUAACUCCUGCAGUCCUACAGAUGCAACUCAUACCUUCCUUCUCUAGUACAUCCCAUGGUUAUAAUUUUUUUAAAAGAUUUUAUUUAUGUACUUGAGAGAGAGAGAAGAGUGAGAGAGAGAGCAUGAGAGGGGAAAGAGUCAGAGGGAGAAGCAGACUCCCUGCUGAGCAAGGUGCCUAAUGCAGGACUCCCAGGACUCCUGGCACCCCACAGUUAUAAUUUAAAUUUGGAUUAAUGUUGACUUGUAACUCUAAGCCCCAUGAAGGCAGGAAACUUGUCUGUUUUUGCUCUACUAUAUCUCCAUGAAAUACUGAGUAUUUUUAAUAUAUUACAUAACAUAAAUACUAUUUUAAAAUGUGUGAAAGUCUGGAUUUACAAGAUUCUCCACUCUAGCCCCUUGUCUGAGGGUUGGAGAAUAUCACCCCCCCAAAACAUUUCACAACACAAACAUGUUUUAAGGAGGGGAUGCUUUGCAAUCAAUAUCAUGUAAAUAAGCAUACAUCUUAUUAUACUUAUAAAUAAGUAUAAUUAAGUCUUUGGUUCAGCCAGUCAGUGGCAGAUAGUAUCUUAUAUCAUAGCAUAUUGAGGCCUGGAGCAAGGACUGCAUAAUGCUCGUCUGUGUUGUUUUUUUUUUUUUUUAAACCUAUAAUCAAUAUAUGCAAAGUAUUUCAGGGAGAUUUUAGAAGCUUUUUAUUUGCUAUGAAGGUAUCCGGUUUGCAGCUGUUGGGUUCAAUAGAGCAGAAUUGGGAGUACUAGUAUGGUGGUGGCGUGAGGCGUGCUGAGAAGUUUGUCUUAUCCAACCAGAUGGCAAGAGGUGCUUCAGGAAUUCUCCACAGUAGAUCCAGACCUGGAUACAGAUCUCUGCAAGAUUGCUCUGUUCAAUUGUGCAUAUCCCCUUUGAGGGGAGAAGUGUGUGUUUCUAUGAGAGUGAAACAUUUUUAUUGUGAAAUUCUUAAAGGCUACCAAAAAGUACAGCAAAUGAUGUUGAAAGGACCUGU